Molecule: long non-coding RNA, 1601 nt
Organism: Lingula anatina
Lineage: Eukaryota; Metazoa; Brachiopoda; Lingulata; Lingulida; Lingulidae
Source: RefSeq, a predicted model, not a curated record
GUGCGAUUGCACCCACCUGAUAUCUCGAAGCCUUAGCAAACGCAACGCAAUAAAUGCCUGUCCGGAAGUACAAUUAUAGUCUCGAACACACGCGUACGCCUAGCGGUUCUUUUUUGUUUGGAGGGACGAUAGUAAAUCGCACGUGAAAUGGAGAAACACAGCAGGGAGCGUUACAAAACCGAUGAGCUCGCGGUGUUGGUGGAGGAGGUCUCGUGUAGACCUACACUAUUUAGCCCCUUCACCAACACCGUGACUGUAAAGUCCAAAGAAAAUCAAUGGGCUGAAGUUGCCGAAAAAGUUGACAGUGUUUCACAUGUAUAUAAAGAGGAGUUUCCGAGAGGUCAGGAAAAAAUGGCAUGACCUCACGUCUCGCACUAAGCGCAAAGAGGCCAAACGCCGUGCAGCAAUGCGGCAGACAGGUGGUGGUGUGGGGCCCAGUCCAAUGUCAGAGUGGGAGAAGAAGAUGUAAGUGAAAGGUUUUACAACGUAGAGAAGGAUCACCUAGCAUUAGAGGAGGAGAGGUUGAAAGUAGAAAAAGAGCGUUUACAGUUAGAAAGGGAGAGAUUAGAAAUUGACAAAAGUAACAAAGUGUUAUUUGAAAAAAUAACAGAAUACUGUAAAGUGAAGUUGGAUGUUCUGAAGUGUGAGUCUCUUGCAGAUACUUAACAGUGAAUGCAUCUUAUUGGGAUCAUGAUAUUUUAUGUUUUUGCCAAGACACAUACUAGCCGUAUGUUACUGUACAUCACUGUACUAGCCAUUAGUUGCAUCUGCUGUUGCAGUCAUCAUCCCUGUACUGUGAACUUUCACAGAUAACAUUUUAAAUUUAAAAAAAUACAUCUUUUGUCUUAAAGGUAACAGAACUGAUGAUUAUCCAUAAAAUACAGGUCAAAUUUAAAUAUCACCUGGCUUGGACCAUAUUACUGUAUGCAAUUCGAAUGACACAUUGCAAGGAAAAUGUCAAACUUUCAUAAGGAGAGUUCCAAAUUAUUAAAAUAUUUUGUUUCAAAACCAUCCAGAUCAAAUUAAGUUUGGUAAAUUAUUAUUUUUAUUUAUUAAUUUUUUUGUCUGUGAAUGUGUGAAAUAAUAAUUUUUUCACAUAUUAGCAUUUUCAAGGUAAGGCACAACUUGAAGACCUUUUUUUACCCACAUUGUCUGGAUAUCCAUAAUACUUAUGUUAUUUUAAUUUUGUAGUGAAUAUGCUGUUGAGUAUUAUGUUAUAUUGCAUCAAAAUUGGCAAAAUACCUAUUGUGGACCCUGCCACCACAAAUGUAAUGAAAAAUAAAACUUUGUUACUUAUUUUUUUUACGUACAAGAAUGAUAAUAAGGAUAUACAUACAGCUGAUAUUGAAAAUGCCAACUUGACUGUAUUAUUUUUUCCUUUAAUUUAUGCAAUUUCUUUUUGAUAAUUUUUCAGUAUUUUUUAUUCAGUAAUUUUCAAUAUUUGAAUCAGUUUGAUCAUUCAGUACUGUAUUUUAAACUAAGUUUAUGACCUCAGCAAAGAACUGGAAUUUGUUACAAAUCUUUUAUAAGGGAUAGUUUUCAUUUGCUUUUGUCCUUGAAAAGGACUUUAUUUUUAUAUUGUACUUAUUUACUUUAAUUUA